This 497-nucleotide ribosomal RNA is filed under the name uncultured bacterium. RNAcentral's name for it is "partial 16S ribosomal RNA". It matches the Rfam family "Bacterial small subunit ribosomal RNA", at positions 28 to 507 of the family's 1533-position model. The record is from RNAcentral.
GAUGAACGCUGGCGGCGUGCCUAAUACAUGCAAGUCGAGCGAACAGACGAGGAGCUUGCUCCUCGGACGUUAGCGGCGGACGGGUGAGUAACACGUGGAUAACCUACCUAUAAGACUGGUAUAACUUCGGGAAACCGGAGCUAAUACCGGAUAAUAUAUUGAACCGCAUGGUUCAAUAGUGAAAUACGGUUUUUCUGUCACUUAUAGAUGGAUCCGCGCCGCAUUAGAUAGUUGGUAAGGUAACGGCUUACCAAGGCAACGAUGCGUAGACGACCUGAGAGGGUGAUCGGCCACACUGGAACUGAGACACGGUCAAGACUACUACGGGAGGCAGCAGUAGGGAAUCUUACGCAAUGGGCGAAAGCCUGACGGAGCAGCGCCGCGUGAGUGAUGAAGGUCUUCGGAUCGUAAAACUCUGUUAUUAGGGAAGAACAAAUGUGUAAGUAACUAUGCACGUCUUGACGGUACCUAAUCAGAAAGCCACGGCUAACUACGUG